Molecule: ribosomal RNA, 105 nt
Filed under: Bacillus fengqiuensis
Lineage: Bacteria; Bacillati; Bacillota; Bacilli; Caryophanales; Bacillaceae
Source: RNAcentral
UGGCGAAGAGGUCACACCCGUUCCCAUGCCGAACACGGAAGUUAAGCUCUUCAGCGCCGAUGGUAGUUGGGGGUUUCCCCCUGUGAGAGUAGGACGUUGCCAGGC